UACGUAGGGGGCAAGCGUUGUCCGGAUUUAUUGGGCGUAAAGAGCGUGUAGGCGGCCAGGUAGGUCUGCUGUGAAAACUCGAGGCUCAACCUCGGGUCUGCAGUCGAUACGGGCAAACUAGAGUAUUGCAGGGGAGACUGGAAUUCCUGGUGUAGCGGUGAAAUGCGCAGAUAUCAGGAGGAACACCGGUGGCGAAGGCGGGACUCUGGGCCGAUACUGACGCUGAGGAGCGAAAGCGUGGGGAGCGAACAGG
This 253-nucleotide ribosomal RNA is filed under the name uncultured bacterium. RNAcentral describes it as "partial 16S ribosomal RNA". It matches the Rfam family "Bacterial small subunit ribosomal RNA", at positions 524 to 776 of the family's 1533-position model. The record is from RNAcentral.